UGAGGAAUAUUGGUCAAUGGACGAGAGUCUGAACCAGCCAAGUAGCGUGCAGGAUGACGGCCCUAUGGGUUGUAAACUGCUUUUGUAUGGGGAUAAAGUUAGGGACGUGUCCCUAUUUGCAGGUACCAUACGAAUAAGGACCGGCUAAUUCCGUGCCAGCAGCCGCGGUAAUACGGAAGGUCCGGGCGUUAUCCGGAUUUAUUGGGUUUAAAGGGAGCGUAGGCCGGAGAUUAAGUGUGUUGUGAAAUGUAGACGCUCAACGUCUGACUUGCAGCGCAUACUGGUUUCCUUGAGUACGCACAACGUUGGCGGAAUUCGUCGUGUAGCGGUGAAAUGCUUAGAUAUGACGAAGAACUCCGAUUGCGAAGGCAGCUGACGGGAGCGCAACUGACGCUUAAGCUCGAAGGUGCGGGUAUCGAACAGGAUUAGAUACCCUGGUAGUCCGCACAGUAAACGAUGGAUGCCCGCUGUUGGUACCUGGUAUCAGCGGCUAAGCGAAAGCAUUAAGCAUCCCACCUGGGGAGUACGCCGGCAACGGU
RNAcentral lists this ribosomal RNA (539 nucleotides) under uncultured bacterium. RNAcentral describes it as "bacterial SSU rRNA". It matches the Rfam family "Bacterial small subunit ribosomal RNA", at positions 355 to 895 of the family's 1533-position model. The record is from RNAcentral.